GUUAUAACCGGCGAUUUCCGAAUGGGGAAACCCAGUGUGUUUCGACACACUAUCAUUAACUGAAUCCAUAGGUUAAUGAGGCGAACCGGGGGAACUGAAACAUCUAAGUACCCCGAGGAAAAGAAAUCAACCGAGAUUCCCCCAGUAGCGGCGAGCGAACGGGGAGGAGCCCAGAGCCUGAAUCAGUGUGUGUGUUAGUGGAAGCGUCUGGAAAGGCGUGCGAUACAGGGUGACAGCCCCGUACACAAAAAUGCACAUAUUGUGAGCUCGAUGAGUAGGGCGGGACACGUGGUAUCCUGUCUGAAUAUGGGGGGACCAUCCUCCAAGGCUAAAUACUCCUGACUGACCGAUAGUGAACCAGUACCGUGAGGGAAAGGCGAAAAGAACCCCGGCGAGGGGAGUGAAAAAGAACCUGAAACCGUGUACGUACAAGCAGUGGGAGCCUCUUAAUGGGGUGACUGCGUACCUUUUGUAUAAUGGGUCAGCGACUUAUAUUCUGUAGCAAGGUUAACCGAAUAGGGGAGCCGAAGGGAAACCGAGUCUUAACUGGGCGUUAAGUUGCAGGGUAUAGACCCGAAACCCGGUGAUCUAGCCAUGGGCAGGUUGAAGGUUGGGUAACACUAACUGGAGGACCGAACCGACUAAUGUUGAAAAAUUAGCGGAUGACUUGUGGCUGGGGGUGAAAGGCCAAUCAAACCGGGAGAUAGCUGGUUCUCCCCGAAAGCUAUUUAGGUAGCGCCUCGUGAAUUCAUCUCCGGGGGUAGAGCACUGUUUCGGCAAGGGGGUCAUCCCGACUUACCAACCCGAUGCAAACUGCGAAUACCGGAGAAUGUUAUCACGGGAGACACACGGCGGGUGCUAACGUCCGUCGUGAAGAGGGAAACAACCCAGACCGCCAGCUAAGGUCCCAAAGUCAUGGUUAAGUGGGAAACGAUGUGGGAAGGCCCAGACAGCCAGGAUGUUGGCUUAGAAGCAGCCAUCAUUUAAAGAAAGCGUAAUAGCUCACUGGUCGAGUCGGCCUGCGCGGAAGAUGUAACGGGGCUAAACCAUGCACCGAAGCUGCGGCAGCGACACUAUGUGUUGUUGGGUAGGGGAGCGUUCUGUAAGCCUGUGAAGGUGGCCUGUGAGGGUUGCUGGAGGUAUCAGAAGUGCGAAUGCUGACAUAAGUAACGAUAAAGCGGGUGAAAAGCCCGCUCGCCGGAAGACCAAGGGUUCCUGUCCAACGUUAAUCGGGGCAGGGUGAGUCGACCCCUAAGGCGAGGCCGAAAGGCGUAGUCGAUGGGAAACAGGUUAAUAUUCCUGUACUUGGUGUUACUGCGAAGGGGGGACGGAGAAGGCUAUGUUGGCCGGGCGACGGUUGUCCCGGUUUAAGCGUGUAGGCUGGUUUUCCAGGCAAAUCCGGAAAACCAAGGCUGAGGCGUGAUGACGAGGCACUACGGUGCUGAAGCGACAAAUGCCCUGCUUCCAGGAAAAGCCUCUAAGCAUCAGGUAACAUCAAAUCGUACCCCAAACCGACACAGGUGGUCAGGUAGAGAAUACCAAGGCGCUUGAGAGAACUCGGGUGAAGGAACUAGGCAAAAUGGUGCCGUAACUUCGGGAGAAGGCACGCUGAUAUGUAGGUGAAGCGACUUGCUCGUGGAGCUGAAAUCAGUCGAAGAUACCAGCUGGCUGCAACUGUUUAUUAAAAACACAGCACUGUGCAAACACGAAAGUGGACGUAUACGGUGUGACGCCUGCCCGGUGCCGGAAG
This 1750-nucleotide ribosomal RNA is filed under the name Escherichia coli. Its description in RNAcentral is "partial 23S ribosomal RNA". It matches the Rfam family "Bacterial large subunit ribosomal RNA", at positions 97 to 1875 of the family's 2925-position model. Lineage: Bacteria; Pseudomonadati; Pseudomonadota; Gammaproteobacteria; Enterobacterales; Enterobacteriaceae. The record is from RNAcentral.